GAUGAACGCUGGCGGCGUGCCUAAUACAUGCAAGUCGAGCGAACGGACGAGAAGCUUGCUUCUCUGAUGUUAGCGGCGGACGGGUGAGUAACACGUGGAUAACCUACCUAUAAGACUGGGAUAACUUCGGGAAACCGGAGCUAAUACCGGAUAAUAUUUUGAACCGCAUGGUUCAAAAGUAAAAGACGGUCUUGCUGUCACUUAUAGAUGGAUCCGCGCUGCAUUAGCUAGUUGGUCAGGUAACGGCUUACCAAGGCAACGAUGCAUAGCCGACCUGAGAGAGUGGUAGCCCGCACUGGAACUGAGACGCGGACCAGGGUCCUGAGGGAGGGAGCAGUAGCGAAUCUGACGCAAUGGGCGAGAACAUGACGGAACAACGCCGCGUGAGUGAUGACAAUCUUCGGAUCGUGAAACCCUGUUAUUAGGGAAGAACAUAUGUGUAAGUAACUGUAGAGAGCUUGACGGUAACUAAUAAGAAAGCCACGGCUAACUACGUG
RNAcentral lists this ribosomal RNA (497 nucleotides) under uncultured bacterium. Its description in RNAcentral is "partial 16S ribosomal RNA". It matches the Rfam family "Bacterial small subunit ribosomal RNA", at positions 28 to 507 of the family's 1533-position model. The record is from RNAcentral.